Chamaesiphon minutus PCC 6605 is the source of this 24-nucleotide non-coding RNA. The record is from Rfam. Lineage: Bacteria; Bacillati; Cyanobacteriota; Cyanophyceae; Gomontiellales; Chamaesiphonaceae.
UGCAAAGUCCGCCUGCGCGGACUA